CCUACGGGUGGCAGCAGUGGGGAAUAUUGGGCAAUGGGCGCAAGCCUGACCCAGCAACGCCGCGUGAAGGAAGAAGGCUCUCGGGUUGUAAACUUUUUUUUUCAGGGACGAAGAAAGUGACGGUACUUGAGGAAUAAGCCACGGAUAACUACGUGCCAGCAGCCGCGGUAUUACGUAGGUGGCAAGCGUUAUCCGGAUUUACUGGGUGUAAAGGGCGGGUAGGCGGGAAAGCAAGUCAGAUGUGAAAACCAUGGGCUCAACCUGUGGCCUGCAUUUGAAACUGUUUUUCUUGAGUACUGGAGAGGCAGACGGAAUUCCUUGUGUAGCGGGGAAAUGCGUAGAUAUUAGGAGGAACCCCAGUGGCGAAGGCGGUCUGCUGGACAGCAACUGACGCUGAGGCGCGAAAGCGUGGGGAGCAAACAGGAUUAGAUACCCGGGUAGUC
Molecule: ribosomal RNA, 443 nt
Filed under: uncultured bacterium
Lineage: Bacteria
Description: partial 16S ribosomal RNA
Rfam family: Bacterial small subunit ribosomal RNA
Source: RNAcentral